CAUUUAAAGUGGUACGCGAGCUGGGUUUAGAACGUCGUGAGACAGUUCGGUCCCUAUCUGCCGUGGGCGCUGGAGAACUGAGGGGGGCUGCUCCUAGUACGAGAGGACCGGAGUGGACGCAUCACUGGUGUUCGGGUUGUCAUGCCAAUGGCACUGCCCGGUAGCUAAAUGCGGAAGAGAUAAGUGCUGAAAGCAUCUAAGCACGAAACUUGCCCCGAGAUGAGUUCUCCCUGACCCUUUAAGGGUCCUGAAGGAACGUUGAAGACGACGACGUUGAUAGGCCGGGUGUGUAAGCGCAGCGAUGCGUUGAGCUAACCGGUACUAAUGAACCGUGAGGCUUAACCUUACAACGCCGAAGCUGUU
This 363-nucleotide ribosomal RNA is filed under the name Escherichia coli. Its description in RNAcentral is "bacterial LSU rRNA". It matches the Rfam family "Bacterial large subunit ribosomal RNA", at positions 2585 to 2925 of the family's 2925-position model. The record is from RNAcentral. Lineage: Bacteria; Pseudomonadati; Pseudomonadota; Gammaproteobacteria; Enterobacterales; Enterobacteriaceae.